This 2350-nucleotide ribosomal RNA is filed under the name Shigella flexneri. RNAcentral's name for it is "partial 23S ribosomal RNA". It matches the Rfam family "Bacterial large subunit ribosomal RNA", at positions 607 to 2925 of the family's 2925-position model. Lineage: Bacteria; Pseudomonadati; Pseudomonadota; Gammaproteobacteria; Enterobacterales; Enterobacteriaceae. RNAcentral also lists the same sequence under 1 other name. The record is from RNAcentral.
UUUGUAUAAUGGGUCAGCGACUUAUAUUCUGUAGCAAGGUUAACCGAAUAGGGGAGCCGAAGGGAAACCGAGUCUUAACUGGGCGUUAAGUUGCAGGGUAUAGACCCGAAACCCGGUGAUCUAGCCAUGGGCAGGUUGAAGGUUGGGUAACACUAACUGGAGGACCGAACCGACUAAUGUUGAAAAAUUAGCGGAUGACUUGUGGCUGGGGGUGAAAGGCCAAUCAAACCGGGAGAUAGCUGGUUCUCCCCGAAAGCUAUUUAGGUAGCGCCUCGUGAAUUCAUCUCCGGGGGUAGAGCACUGUUUCGGCAAGGGGGUCAUCCCGACUUACCAACCCGAUGCAAACUGCGAAUACCGGAGAAUGUUAUUACGGGAGACACACGGCGGGUGCUAACGUCCGUCGUGAAGAGGGAAACAACCCAGACCGCCAGCUAAGGUCCCAAAGUCAUGGUUAAGUGGGAAACGAUGUGGGAAGGCCCAGACAGCCAGGAUGUUGGCUUAGAAGCAGCCAUCAUUUAAAGAAAGCGUAAUAGCUCACUGGUCGAGUCGGCCUGCGCGGAAGAUGUAACGGGGCUAAACCAUGCACCGAAGCUGCGGCAGCGACGCUUAUGCGUUGUUGGGUAGGGGAGCGUUCUGUAAGCCUGUGAAGGUGUGCUGUGAGGUAUGCUGGAGGUAUCAGAAGUGCGAAUGCUGACAUAAGUAACGAUAAAGCGGGUGAAAAGCCCGCUCGCCGGAAGACCAAGGGUUCCUGUCCAACGUUAAUCGGGGCAGGGUGAGUCGACCCCUAAGGCGAGGCCGAAAGGCGUAGUCGAUGGGAAACAGGUUAAUAUUCCUGUACUUGGUGUUACUGCGAAGGGGGGACGGAGAAGGCUAUGUUGGCCGGGCGACGGUUGUCCCGGUUUAAGCGUGUAGGCUGGUUUUCCAGGCAAAUCCGGAAAAUCAAGGCCGAGGCGUGAUGACGAGGCACUACGGUGCUGAAGCAACAAAUGCCCUGCUUCCAGGAAAAGCCUCUAAGCAUCAGGUAACAUCAAAUCGUACCCCAAACCGACACAGGUGGUCAGGUAGAGAAUACCAAGGCGCUUGAGAGAACUCGGGUGAAGGAACUAGGCAAAAUGGUGCCGUAACUUCGGGAGAAGGCACGCUGAUACGUAGGUGAAGCGACUUGCUCGUGGAGCUGAAAUCAGUCGAAGAUACCAGCUGGCUGCAACUGUUUAUUAAAAACACAGCACUGUGCAAACACGAAAGUGGACGUAUACGGUGUGACGCCUGCCCGGUGCCGGAAGGUUAAUUGAUGGGGUUAGCGCAAGCGAAGCUCUUGAUCGAAGCCCCGGUAAACGGCGGCCGUAACUAUAACGGUCCUAAGGUAGCGAAAUUCCUUGUCGGGUAAGUUCCGACCUGCACGAAUGGCGUAAUGAUGGCCAGGCUGUCUCCACCCGAGACUCAGUGAAAUUGAACUCGCUGUGAAGAUGCAGUGUACCCGCGGCAAGACGGAAAGACCCCGUGAACCUUUACUAUAGCUUGACACUGAACAUUGAGCCUUGAUGUGUAGGAUAGGUGGGAGGCUUUGAAGUGUGGACGCCAGUCUGCAUGGAGCCGACCUUGAAAUACCACCCUUUAAUGUUUGAUGUUCUAACGUGGACCCGUGAUCCGGGUUGCGGACAGUGUCUGGUGGGUAGUUUGACUGGGGCGGUCUCCUCCUAAAGAGUAACGGAGGAGCACGAAGGUUGGCUAAUCCUGGUCGGACAUCAGGAGGUUAGUGCAAUGGCAUAAGCCAGCUUGACUGCGAGCGUGACGGCGCGAGCAGGUGCGAAAGCAGGUCAUAGUGAUCCGGUGGUUCUGAAUGGAAGGGCCAUCGCUCAACGGAUAAAAGGUACUCCGGGGAUAACAGGCUGAUACCGCCCAAGAGUUCAUAUCGACGGCGGUGUUUGGCACCUCGAUGUCGGCUCAUCACAUCCUGGGGCUGAAGUAGGUCCCAAGGGUAUGGCUGUUCGCCAUUUAAAGUGGUACGCGAGCUGGGUUUAGAACGUCGUGAGACAGUUCGGUCCCUAUCUGCCGUGGGCGCUGGAGAACUGAGGGGGGCUGCUCCUAGUACGAGAGGACCGGAGUGGACGCAUCACUGGUGUUCGGGUUGUCAUGCCAAUGGCACUGCCCGGUAGCUAAAUGCGGAAGAGAUAAGUGCUGAAAGCAUCUAAGCACGAAACUUGCCCCGAGAUGAGUUCUCCCUGACCCUUUAAGGGUCCUGAAGGAACGUUGAAGACGACGACGUUGAUAGGCCGGGUGUGUAAGCGCAGCGAUGCGUUGAGCUAACCGGUACUAAUGAACCGUGAGGCUUAACCUUACAACGCCGAAG